RNAcentral lists this ribosomal RNA (430 nucleotides) under uncultured bacterium. RNAcentral describes it as "partial 16S ribosomal RNA". It matches the Rfam family "Bacterial small subunit ribosomal RNA", at positions 354 to 796 of the family's 1533-position model. The record is from RNAcentral.
GUGGGGAAUAUUGCACAAUGGGCGCAAGCCUGAUGCAGCAACGCCGCGUGAGGGAUGACGGCCUUCGGGUUGUAAACCUCUUUUAGUAGGGAAGAAGCGAAAGUGACGGUACCUGCAGAAAAAGCACCGGCUAACUACGUGCCAGCAGCCGCGGUAAUACGUAGGGUGCAAGCGUUGUCCGGAAUUAUUGGGCGUAAAGAGCUCGUAGGCGGCUUGUCGCGUCUGCUGUGAAAACCCGAGGCUCAACCUCGGGCCUGCAGUGGGUACGGGCAGGCUAGAGUGCGGUAGGGGAGAUUGGAAUUCCUGGUGUAGCGGUGGAAUGCGCAGAUAUCAGGAGGAACACCGAUGGCGAAGGCAGAUCUCUGGGCCGUAACUGACGCUGAGGAGCGAAAGCAUGGGGAGCGAACAGGAUUAGAAACCCGGGUAGUCC